Astatotilapia calliptera (eastern happy) is the source of this 652-nucleotide long non-coding RNA. The record is from Ensembl. NCBI's taxonomy places the organism in Eukaryota, Metazoa, Chordata, Actinopteri, Cichliformes, Cichlidae.
AGGAAAUUCCUUCUCCCUGAUCAUCCCUGUUGUUGUUGCUGUGGUUGUUCUUGCUGCCAUCGCUGUGAUCACAUUCAUUAUUUACAAAAAGAGGACAGAGAAACGUCCCCCAUCUCCUGUAGAGAACCGUGAAGUCAAGGAGCAAAUGCUUCCUCAAGCCGAAACCACAAACAGCUCUGCACACAAGAACAUGAGAGAAGACGUGUCAGCUCGUUCUUCUCCAUAAACUGGAAUUCAUUGAAUUCGUUGAUUCGUUGAUUGUUCACAGACUUUAGAUCUGUUAAAAAGAUCUAAAGUCUAAAAUAUAGUUGCAGAUGCUUAUUAGUCAAGAUUUAAUGGAAAGGAGUUUGAAAAUGAGUUGGCAAAUGUUUAACAUAUACAUCAUAAUGGUGGCAUUAAAUUAUUCUGAAGAUCUAACAAAGAUGUGACCACCUGGAGAGACGUAAAACACAAUAAAAACAAUAUGAAACAAUGAAAGCAUCACAGCAGUCUCAAUACAAUCAUAAUUAAACCUUUGUAUGUUCAUCUUCACUCAAACAUAUAUUAGUUUAGUGUUUCUGGUUUUCUUGUAAAUUAUUGAAUCACUCAUGAAUGCUGAGAUUCCCUCACUCUCAGUGAUAAAGGAAUCAUAAUAAGAUAUUUCUAAAUCUUG